Molecule: ribosomal RNA, 484 nt
Filed under: uncultured bacterium
Lineage: Bacteria
Description: partial 16S ribosomal RNA
Rfam family: Bacterial small subunit ribosomal RNA
Source: RNAcentral
AUUGAACGCUGGCGGCAGGCCUAACACAUGCAAGUCGAGCGGAUGAAGGGAGCUUGCUCCUGGAUUCAGCGGCGGACGGGUGAGUAAUGCCUAGGAAUCUGCCUGGUAGUGGGGGAUAACGUCCGGAAACGGGCGCUAAUACCGCAUACGUCCUGAGGGAGAAAGUGGGGGAUCUUCGGACCUCACGCUAUUAGAUGAGCCUAGGCCGGAUUAGCUAGUUGGUGGGGUAAAGGCCUACCAAGGCGACGAUCCGUAACUGGUCUGAGAGGAUGAUCAGUCACACUGGAACUGAGACACGGUCCAGACUCCUACGGGAGGCAGCAGUGGGGAAUAUUGGACAAUGGGCGAAAGCCUGAUCCAGCCAUGCCGCGUGUGUGAAGAAGGUCUUCGGAUUGUAAAGCACUUUAAGUUGGGAGGAAGGGCAGUAAGUUAAUACCUUGCUGUUUUGACGUUACCAACAGAAUAAGCACCGGCUAACUUCGUG